GAUGAACGCUAGCGGCAGGCUUAAUACAUGCAAGUCAAGGGGGUAGCAAUACUACCGGCGCACGGGUGAGUAACACGUACAUAACAUACCAUAUACUGGGGUAUAGCUUUGGGAAACUGAAGGUAAUCCCCCAUAACAUUGCGAGAGGGCAUCUGAUUGCAAUUAAAGUUUCGACGGUAUAUGAUUGAUGUGCGUUUGAUUAGCUUGUUGGUAGGGUAACGGCCUACCAAGGCGACGAUCAAUAGCUGGCGUGAGAGCGCGACCAGCCACACUGGAACUGAGACACGGUCCAGACUCCUACGGGAGGCAGCAGUAGGGAAUAUUGGACAAUGGGCGAAAGCCUGAUCCAGCCAUGCCGCGUGAUAGAUGAAGGCCCUCUGGGUUGUAAAUAUCUUUUAUCUGGGAAGAAACAAUCUUAUUCUUAAGAUCUUGACGGUACCAGAGGAAUAAGCACCGGCUAACUCCGUGCCAGCAGCCGCGGUAAACU
Molecule: ribosomal RNA, 487 nt
Filed under: uncultured bacterium
Lineage: Bacteria
Description: bacterial SSU rRNA
Rfam family: Bacterial small subunit ribosomal RNA
Source: RNAcentral